UGCCCCGUGGCUGAGUUGGUCACAGCGUCCGACUGUUAACGCAAACAGCACGAUAAAUCGGAAGGUCGUGAGUUCGAGCCUCACCGGGGCAG
Vararia minispora EC-137 is the source of this 92-nucleotide non-coding RNA. NCBI's taxonomy places the organism in Eukaryota, Fungi, Basidiomycota, Agaricomycetes, Russulales, Lachnocladiaceae. The record is from the annotation of a GenBank genome assembly.